Long non-coding RNA from Strigops habroptila (Kakapo), 752 nucleotides. RefSeq lists it as uncharacterized. The record is from RefSeq and is a predicted model, not a curated record. The transcript is spliced from 2 exons. NCBI's taxonomy places the organism in Eukaryota, Metazoa, Chordata, Aves, Psittaciformes, Psittacidae.
GGGUUGGGCUGCCUGGCGCUGCGGGCUGGGCGGAGGAGAGCCGCGGGCGGCUGCCGUCGGGGGGGCGCGGCUCGGCGCGGCUUGGCUCGGAUUAGAAUGGCUCGGAUCGGUUUAGCACGGCUUGGCUCGGUUCUGCUUGGCACGGCUCGACUUAGCUCGGUUCGGCUCGGUUCUGCUUGGCCCGGCCCGGCUCGGCUCGGCUCAUCUCAGCUCGUUUCGGCUUGGCACGGCUUGACUUGACACAGAUUGGUUCAGUUCGACUCGGCUCGGCUUUGCACAGCUCAGCUCAUCUCAGCUCGGACUCGAUCACAUCAUCCCUUGUGGGUGCCCAUACCCUUCCCAGCUUUGUGGGGAGCCAUGAGGUCCAGCCGCCGGGAUGCCAACAUUCCCAGGAGAGGUGAUGCUGAGGGAUGGAGAGGUCGUUGCUUUUAUUAGCCUGGCUUGCAAAAGCAGCGCUCCCGGCUUUGUUUUCUCUUCAUUGUACCUGCCAGGCUAAUAAAAGGCAUUACCUCUGCUGCAAAGCUGACAUUCCAGGGGGCUGGGGGUGGGGAUUGCAAUCCCAAAUCCAUGAGGGAUGGCGUUGGGAUGGGCAUGGGACUUUUGGAUGCUGGAGUGAUGCUGUGUUUGGAGCCAGGAGUAGCAGCGUGGUCAGCAGCAGGAUUUAAGUGCUGGAUCCCCUUUGGGUGCCUAAAUACCCCUAAAUACCAGACCUGAGCUGUGGGUCACAUUAAAUAAACUCCAUCCUGGGCAUA